Molecule: ribosomal RNA, 253 nt
Filed under: uncultured bacterium
Lineage: Bacteria
Description: partial 16S ribosomal RNA
Rfam family: Bacterial small subunit ribosomal RNA
Source: RNAcentral
UACGUAGGGGGCAAGCGUUGUCCGGAAUUAUUGGGCGUAAAGCGCGUGUAGGCGGCUUUGCAAGUCGGGUGUGAAAGCCCUCAGCUCAACUGAGGAAGUGCGCCCGAAACUGCAGAGCUUGAGCGCCGGAGAGGGUGGCGGAAUUCCCCAAGUAGAGGUGAAAUUCGUAGAUAUCAGGAGGAACACCAAUGGCGAAGGCAGCUCUCUGGUACGUGACUGACGCUGAGACGCGAAAGCGUGGGUAGCAAACAGG